This 63-nucleotide transfer RNA is filed under the name Drilonius striatulus. RNAcentral describes it as "tRNA-Gly". The record is from RNAcentral. Lineage: Eukaryota; Metazoa; Arthropoda; Insecta; Coleoptera; Omethidae.
AUUCAUAUAGUAUAAAAAUUAUUUUUAACUUCCAAUUAAAAGAUCUAUCUAAUAGUAUGAAUA